GACGAACGCUGGCGGCGUGCUUAACACAUGCAAGUCGAACGGAAAGGCCCUGCUUUUGUGGGGUGCUCGAGUGGCGAACGGGUGAGUAACACGUGAGUAACCUGCCCUUUACUUUGGGAUAACUUCAGGAAACUGGGGCUAAUACCGGAUAGGAGCUCCUGCUGCAUGGUGGGGGUUGGAAAGUUUCGGCGGUUGGGGAUGGACUCGCGGCUUAUCAGCUUGUUGGUGGGGUAGUGGCUUACCAAGGCUUUGACGGGUAGCCGGCCUGAGAGGGUGACCGGCCACAUUGGGACUGAGAUACGGCCCAGACUGCUACGGGAGGCAGCAGUGGGGAAUAUUGCACAAUGGGCGGAAGCCUGAUGCAGCAACGCAGCGUGCGGGAUGACGGCCUUCGGGUUGUAAACCGCUUUAGCCUGUGACGAAGAGUGAGUGACGGUAAUGGGUAAAGAAGCACCGGCUAACUACGUG
RNAcentral lists this ribosomal RNA (468 nucleotides) under uncultured bacterium. Its description in RNAcentral is "partial 16S ribosomal RNA". It matches the Rfam family "Bacterial small subunit ribosomal RNA", at positions 28 to 507 of the family's 1533-position model. The record is from RNAcentral.